CCCUUAGAUGUCCGGGGCCGCACGCGCGCUACACUGAAGGAAUCAGCGUGGCUUUCUCCCUGACCCGAAAGGGUUGUGAAACCCGUUGAAUCUCCUUCGUGAUAGGGAUUGGGGCUUGAAAUUGUUCCCCAUGAACGAGGAAUUCCCAGUAAGCGCGAGUCAUAAGCUCGCGUUGAUUACGUCCCUGCCCUUUGUACACACCGCCCGUCGCUACUACCGAUUGAACGGUUUAGUGAGGGCCUCGGAUUGGUCUCGGCCCGCUCUUUACCGGGCGGCGCCGUUGGUCGAGAAGACGCUCGAACUUGAUCGUUUAGAGGAAGUAAAAGUCGUAACA
RNAcentral lists this ribosomal RNA (334 nucleotides) under uncultured eukaryote. RNAcentral's name for it is "partial 18S ribosomal RNA". It matches the Rfam family "Eukaryotic small subunit ribosomal RNA", at positions 1470 to 1796 of the family's 1831-position model. The record is from RNAcentral.